GUUGAGGGUAGCUGUUAAUGAACAACUUUUAAGUUGGACAAAGGUGGUAAGUGGGUGGUAAGUCACGUGUCACUGUUUACAGAUGACAGGAAAGUAAAAUAAUAUGGGGAGGGCAGGAUACACUUCACUACAGGGAUUUUGGUAAAUUGGGGCACUGGACAGACCAGUGGCAGAUUAGAUUUAAAGGAUUUGUCCAAGCACCUUGGUCACUUUCAUGACUUAAAUGGAGGCAUGGUUUUACUAUUAACCCCUGUACUGCUGGAAGUG
Pelobates cultripes (western spadefoot toad) is the source of this 267-nucleotide non-coding RNA. The record is from the annotation of a GenBank genome assembly. NCBI's taxonomy places the organism in Eukaryota, Metazoa, Chordata, Amphibia, Anura, Pelobatidae.